This 440-nucleotide ribosomal RNA is filed under the name uncultured bacterium. RNAcentral's name for it is "partial 16S ribosomal RNA". It matches the Rfam family "Bacterial small subunit ribosomal RNA", at positions 338 to 795 of the family's 1533-position model. The record is from RNAcentral.
CCUACGGGAGGCAGCAGUGGGGAAUAUUGCACAAUGGCGGGAACCCUGAUGCAGCGACGCCGCGUGAGUGAAGAAGUAUUUAGGUAUGUAAAGCUCUAUCAGCAGGGAAGAAAAUGACGGUACCUGACUAAGAAGCCCCGGCUAACUACGUGCCAGCAGCCGCGGUAAUACGUAGGGGGCAAGCGUUAUCCGGAUUUACUGGGUGUAAAGGGAGCGUAGACGGUUGGGCAAGUCUGAUGUGAAAGCCCAAGGCUCAACCACGGGACUGCAUUUGAAACUGUAAUGCUAGAGUGCAGUAGAGGUAGGCGGAAUUCCUAGUGUAGCGGUGAAAUGCGUAGAUAUUAGGAGGAACACCAGUGGCGAAGGCGGCUUACUGGACUAUGACUGACGUUGAGGCUCGAAGGCGUGGGGAGCAAACAGGAUUAGAUACCCCUGUAGUC